GCUGCAGGUCUAGGUUUUCCCAUUUGAAAUUCAACCCAGAGCCAUCUGCCAGCCCAAGAGCCUGGCUUGAGGCCGGCUUCUCACCUGCGUCCGGACACCUGCGCAUGCCUUGGUGCCUCUCUGGUGAUAAUGGUGGCCGGCUGGGCAGACUCAGGCACUGGAUGGCUCACAGACCACUCAGGAAGGCCACAUGGGGGUGGGGAGGCAGGUGGCCAUGCACACUGGCCCUCUCGAAGUGGCAAUGGGAUUCCUGAGCUGACUCACUGACCACCACUCUCACCCUCACUCUGAUCCCCAUGUGACUCCAAGAACAACAUGUCUAGGGACAUUGACUCACUCUAACCAAACAGAACUGGUAUCAGCCAUGUGCCGGCUCUUCAUUUCAGGACGACAAACGCAACCAUCAGGCAGACCAGAUGGUCACGUUGGCCUGACACCUUCUCUCCCUGCGGGGGAGUUCUGUGGAAAGCAAAAUGUGACGAAGUGGCUUGGUGAGGUUAGGGCCAGAGCAGGACGUCUGUGUCCACUGUCUAUAGCUGUCCCUCCUCCCUGUUU
RNAcentral lists this long non-coding RNA (555 nucleotides) under Marmota monax (woodchuck). The record is from RNAcentral. Lineage: Eukaryota; Metazoa; Chordata; Mammalia; Rodentia; Sciuridae.